AUUAGGUAGAUGCAGAACCUUCCUCUCUUUCUGACCAACUUCAGUUCCUGGUCAACUGUUGACAAUGCAAAUCAGCUGGCUUUCUAUCCUUAUCCUUUCAGGAAUGAUCUUGCUUUGUGCGGGAAAAAAAUCUUCAGAGAAGUGUCAGCGCAAGGGUGGAGUUUGUUUAAAGAAGAGUAAAUGUUUAGGAACACGUAUUGGAAAAUGUGGGCUAUUGAAAGUAUGCUGUAUGGCUUCUCCUGGUAUGGGGUGGAAUGGCAUGGUCCCUCCUUCAAAUAUGGGAUACAACGUUGGAAAUGUUGUCGGUGGUAUUGCUGGUGUGAUAGCUGCAACUACAAUGAUGAACAGGGGCAAUGCUAUGUACCUAAAGAGAGCAACUGCAGGUGAUGCCACCACUUCAACUUAGAACCCAGUUAUUCGUCAACUGCACCGGCUCUGGAAACUGUCUGGCUAGGACUUGCUCCCUGAGUGAUCCAGGACUUCAUUUGACAUCGCUGGUUGGUCCUUGUGGGGCAGGAUACUUUAAUAAACUACCACUGGACUAUUUUGAAGAAUGUGUCCGUUUAAUUGAUCUGCGCAUGAGAGGGGCACAAUAAAAAAGCAAUUGAUAGCACUUUGUAACAAAAUGUUUGUCAUUUCCUAAUUGCUUCUAUCAUCAAACAUGGAAUUUUUUUAUUAAACUACAAAAACUUUGUUCUUGUGGGAGGAACUAUAGUAUUUCUAUAGUAUUUUUGCUAUAGUAUUUCAAUGAAUAUCUCAUAGAGUCUCAACCAGUUCAACAUAUAAUGGGCUUAAUACUCUAGCUCUGGUUGAUACAAUGGGAUUAGCCCAGAUAAAUAAUGGGUGCUAUUAGGUGAUAGCCAUAUCAAUGGGUGCCACAGGGAUGGGUCUGGCUUGGAGCAUGGGAGAGGAAAUGCUCCCAAAGACAGCCCAGAUCAUAUUAGGUGAAACAGGAAAAAGGAUCCAGGGGCUAUGACAUAAACCCAUUGUGCUCACCUCAGUCUCCCAGUCAAUUGUGAAAGGAUUAUCAAAAUCUUCUCUGGGUCCAUAGCAUUGUGAGGCAGCAUUUCAGGAAAUUCAUAAAGAAGAUUUAUGACAAUCGGAAAUAUCCAUGUGAACUCCCUAUAUUUCUCAAUGGAAUCAAGUUUCAUAAUUCAUAAUUUUGGGGUCAAUUUUUUGAUAACAAAUAUAUGAGAGAAAGCAAUGGAAGAAGGAAAGAAAAGAAUGAGGGAGGCAUUAUAUAUGGGAAAUUGAGGAGGGAAAGAACAAAGCCAUAAAGAAAGCUUUCCCAUUGUUGCCAGACUGUUGCCAUGGAGACAUUGUGAGGUAGGCAUUCUCAGAUCUGGAGAAGCUAGAAAGCAGGUGAGAAGCAGCCCCUCCAACACUAACACUUUGAAAUAUUGAUGAGAUAGCCUGCUUGUUUUCCACUGCUCUGGAAACUAGAACUGCAGGAAAAGAGAUUCCACCUAAAUAUUAGGAGAAACCUCCUUAUGGUGAGAGCUGUUCCAUAGUGGAAUAUGCUUCCUUAGAAUGUGGUGGAAGUCUUCUUCUCUGGAGAUUUUUUUAGGGGGGCUGGAUGACUAUCUGUCAGGAGCGCUUUGAUGAUAUGUAACCUGCAUAAACAGAAUGGGGUUGGAGUAGAUGGCCUUUCUAGCUUUUUCCAACUCCAUGAUUCUAUGGACCUCUUCACAACGGUGUUUUUUUAUUCCUGUUUGUCCAGUUGACGGGACCUGUCGAGCGUCAUCAGACGAUGAUUGGCAGGUCCCACCCACAUUCCUCCUAAAGUGGAGGGGAAGCGUCACAAGAUGCUUCUUCCUCCACGACAGAGAGAAAAGUGUUUUCGGGUAGCUCUGAUGGAGCUACCUGCACUUUCCUCUACUUUUCCCCAUAUGAUGGGUGAAGGAGCGAUGGGGCUGCCUUGUGUCAUUCCCACCAUAUGAUGGGGGAGCAGGGAGGGUGUGCAGGAUGCCACGAGUUGCCCUGUUCACCUUCCUUUUCACUGGCAACUGCCGGCAAAACAGCAUGGCCCCAGGGGUCCUGUGAAGUGGUCCUAUAUUUCUACAAUGUCAUUUUAUAGCAUCAUUUCAAAAACGAUUAUAAAGAAGGAAAAGUUAUUGUGCCAAAUUGCUAUGUGUGUGUGUAAAGAAAUCCUUGCAAAGUUGCUUGCAAAAGAUCUCUGCAAAAAGGGAGCUGAGCUUUUACAGAGGCAAGCCACACCUUAAACAAUGUAUCGGUUUGCUGGCAGAUGGCUGGUUUUGUCAGCUGGGAAUCUGAGCUUUCAGGGAGAGCACAGAAAAGACAGGCUCUCUAGCUACGGUCAAGUAGCAGUUUAAAUAUGCUAUGCUGGAUAUAUUGAAUGCUGAUUGAUUAGUUAUUGAUCCUAUGCAACUACAAGGACAUUGUACGAUUGCUGAACUGUUUACUUAACUUCAACUCAACAAGUAAAGUUCCUUUGUUCUUUCAA
This is a long non-coding RNA of Anolis carolinensis (green anole), 2464 nucleotides long. RefSeq lists it as uncharacterized. The record is from RefSeq and is a predicted model, not a curated record. Lineage: Eukaryota; Metazoa; Chordata; Lepidosauria; Squamata; Anolidae. The transcript is spliced from 4 exons.